CUUGUCUACUAGAGGAUGAUGCUUCGAAGCUGGUAAUGAACCCCGGCUCUGAGGUGGACAUGUGCUAUGCAUGUUUGACAAGU
Molecule: transfer RNA, 83 nt
Filed under: Komagataella phaffii CBS 7435
Lineage: Eukaryota; Fungi; Ascomycota; Pichiomycetes; Pichiales; Pichiaceae
Description: tRNA-Ile
Source: RNAcentral